GCUGCCCUCAUGUCUUUCUCAAAUGACUCCCCAUUA
RNAcentral lists this small RNA (36 nucleotides) under Arabidopsis thaliana (thale cress). RNAcentral describes it as "ATSL122610". The record is from RNAcentral. Lineage: Eukaryota; Viridiplantae; Streptophyta; Magnoliopsida; Brassicales; Brassicaceae.